GGGGGAGGGCGUCUGGGGGGCGGGAUCCUUCACGGGGUCUUGCCAGGACCUCCUGCUGCCCCAGUCCCAGCCUGUGAGCCUUGGGUCCUGUCCCUCCCAGACUGGAAGGUGCCUGCUGCUCCCUUCUGCAGCCCCACUCAUGCCCCGCACCCUCAGGCUGGGGAAUGAGGUGGAGGGGCUGCAUGCGUCCCUGGUGGUGCUGCGGGAGAAGCUUCUAGAAGUGGAGCAGUCGCUGGGCAACCUGGAGUACGUGCAGGAGCCUGGAGAAAAACAUCGCCGUCAAGACCAACAGCCUCUAUGUCGACCGCCAGGCGUGCAUGGCCACCACGCCGCUACCCCACGGUCCUGCAGCUGCGCCUGGCUGCCAGUGAGUAUCUGGCACCGUGCAGGCGCCGUCCUGCGUUUUCUGUCCCGUCUCCCAAAUAAAGAGCACGUUAGCUUUCCA
This is a long non-coding RNA of Homo sapiens (human), 445 nucleotides long. NCBI's taxonomy places the organism in Eukaryota, Metazoa, Chordata, Mammalia, Primates, Hominidae. The record is from Ensembl.